GAAAAAUGAGUUCUAAAUGGCUUCUUUUAGGCAAAGCAUUUUUAUGGCUACAAAUAAUAACAAAUUGCAAAUAUUUAAGAUCAUAUAAGACACUUUAUUUGUAUUUAAAGCAUUUCUGUUUUCUUGUAGUUUCAUAAGGCCUGUGGCUAUCCACUACAUAAUUACACUGUAACUCUCAUUUGUAUUAGUUAUACCUAUAUCCUACUAAAGGUUUAUUAACUUAUAUCAGCAAAACAACUACAGAAUAUUGUGCGCUUAAUUUACAAGUGAGAUGGUUCUCCAAGAUCACAAAAACUAUUAGCUAUAAUGGCUACAGUAACUACACGAGCAAGACAAACUUGAGGCUUCAUCUGGCAUCAACUUGUCUGGGAAAAAUGUUGUCUGCUGCUUACCUCCCAGAAUUUUUUUUUUUUCUCUCUUGACUUCCUCCUCCCUUCAGCAUCAACAAAUCCCGUCUCUACAAAUCCAGAAGGUGAAAUGCUUGCGCUGCUGUAGGCUGCUCCUUUGGAUGGCAAUUCUCUGGGACAGUCAGCCUAAUUGGGAGUCUGCAUGAAUACUUAAUGGCAGAGGAUAGAUAGCAGAGAAGGGCAAGUCAAGAUCUGUCAUGCUGGGAUCACUGGCUGUCAGACAGGAAAGGCAGAGGCUCAACCACCACCCCUCCCCAUGCACGCCGGCUGUGUCUGCCACGAUGGGGGAACAUGUUGGUGCCCUAAGGCUAAAUUCUAUCCGGCUGAUGGAAACAUGGAUGGGAACAAACAAAAUGCACACAGAAAAAAAAAAGAAAGGGCAGAUUCUGGCUGAGCACUACAGUUGACCAGAGAUGUGGCAUCUAAUCAAAGCGUUUCUAGAGCGAGAAAGAAAGGUGAAUGCCUUAAACAGUCAACCCUAGAGUCACGUUCCUUCUUGCUUACUCCCAUCUGUCUCAGUUUCCUUCCUGUAAGUCCCACUCAGUACUUAAGAAAAAUAAAAUCAUAAGCACCAACAUGAAGGACAGAGCCUCAUAGCUUGGAAAGAUGAAAGGUCAAUACUGCCAGCUUUAUCAGAGUCCAGAAUUGUAAACAUUUCCUCCAGAGGGUUAAAGGGACUUUGCUUGUUUUGUCUUGCACAGGUUUUCGUACAUAUGACGAUACUUUUACCUCUUAGUGGGUGUUCAAAACCAGGACGGCAGGGAAGUGCUAUUUUUUGUCCCAGCAUUUGCAUUGCACUUCCAGCAUUUGCACUGGGCAUGUUUAAACAUGUCCAGGUUUUGUUUCUUUUUUUUUUAAAAAACGGUUUCCCAGUUCAUCUGGAGCAACAGCCUUCAGAUGUUUCGUCAGU
Molecule: long non-coding RNA, 1317 nt
Organism: Centrocercus urophasianus (Greater sage-grouse)
Lineage: Eukaryota; Metazoa; Chordata; Aves; Galliformes; Phasianidae
Exons: 4
Source: RefSeq, a predicted model, not a curated record